RNAcentral lists this ribosomal RNA (396 nucleotides) under uncultured bacterium. RNAcentral's name for it is "partial 16S ribosomal RNA". It matches the Rfam family "Bacterial small subunit ribosomal RNA", at positions 523 to 918 of the family's 1533-position model. The record is from RNAcentral.
AUACGUAGGGGGCGAGCGUUGUCCGGAAUGAUUGGGCGUAAAGGGCGCGUAGGCGGCGCGGUAAGUCUGGAGUGAAAGUCCUGCUCUCAAGGUGGGAAUUGCUUUGGAUACUGCCGCGCUUGAGUGCAGGAGAGGUUAUCGGAAUUCCCGGUGUAGCGGUGAAAUGCGUAGAGAUCGGGAGGAACACCAGUGGCGAAGGCGGGUAACUGGACUGCAACUGACGCUGAGGCGCGAAAGUGUGGGGAGCAAACAGGAUUAGAUACCCUGGUAGUCCACACUGUAAACGAUGAAUGCUAGGUGUAAGAGGUAUCGACCCCUUUGGUGCCGGAGUCAACACAAUAAGCAUUCCGCCUGGGGGUACGGCCGCAAGGUUGAAACUCAAAUGAAUUGACGGGG